RNAcentral lists this ribosomal RNA (460 nucleotides) under uncultured bacterium. RNAcentral describes it as "partial 16S ribosomal RNA". It matches the Rfam family "Bacterial small subunit ribosomal RNA", at positions 338 to 795 of the family's 1533-position model. The record is from RNAcentral.
CCUACGGGAGGCAGCAGUGAGGAAUAUUGGUCAAUGGACGCGAGUCUGAACCAGCCAUGCCGCGUGCAGGAAGACUGCUCUAUGAGUUGUAAACUGCUUUUAUACAAGAAUAAACGCAGAUACGCGUAUCUGUCUGAAAGUAUCGUACGAAUAAGGAUCGGCUAACUCCGUGCCAGCAGCCGCGGUAAUACGGAGGAUUCAAGCGUUAUCCGGAUUUAUUGGGUUUAAAGGGUGCGUAGGCGGUUGGAUAAGUUAGAGGUGAAAUUCCGAGGCUCAACUUUGGAAUUGCAUUUGAUACUGUCAGGCUAGAGAGCAGUUGAGGUAGGCGGAAUGCAUGGUGUAGCGGUGAAAUGCUUAGAGAUCAUACAGAACACCGAUUGCGAAGGCAGCUUACCAAGCUACCUCUGACGUUGAUGCACGAAAGUGUGGGGAGCAAACAGGAUUAGAUACCCUUGUAGUC